UGGUGAAGUCCUUAGGACUAUUUAGACUCGACAAAGGAGGAUUUAUCGUUUAGUCCUUAAAUCUGUUCGCAACCAAAUGAUACGUUGUUACCAAGGACGACAACGUUUAUCAAGCAUAGGUCGUUGUGCGCCAUAUAGGUUGGUUGUCCUCUUAAUCAAUGAGUGUGGAGACACUGGUAUGGCAUACAGGUGAGAUGUAAG
Molecule: long non-coding RNA, 201 nt
Filed under: Elaeis guineensis (African oil palm)
Lineage: Eukaryota; Viridiplantae; Streptophyta; Magnoliopsida; Arecales; Arecaceae
Description: long non-coding RNA (EGUI_LNC074042)
Source: RNAcentral